AAUGCAGCAGCAGCGACAAACGUAACUGCGCCGUCCGCCGCUGCAGCAAAUGCGUCUGCGGUUCCAGCGGGGAAGGCCGCCGUUGACGCCGCAGCGUGCAGCCCGAAAGGGCUGGUACCAGCUGCUGGAGCCGCCGCUAGUGUGAAUGUCACGGCGCCUCCCAAGGCUUGAGCAAGGCACACAUAGACGACAAUUGCACCAGAGCUGUCAAGCAUUUUGGAAAUUUUACAUUUUCAGGCUCCAUUGGGAUAAGCCGUCAUAUGCUUUCAAGUCAAUAAAUAAAGGUCGAUAGGAAAAUGA
This 300-nucleotide long non-coding RNA is filed under the name Dermacentor andersoni. RNAcentral's name for it is "uncharacterized LOC126518479". Lineage: Eukaryota; Metazoa; Arthropoda; Arachnida; Ixodida; Ixodidae. The record is from RNAcentral.